RNAcentral lists this long non-coding RNA (1265 nucleotides) under Equus caballus (horse). RNAcentral describes it as "lncRNA (ENSECAG00000043955.1)". The record is from RNAcentral. Lineage: Eukaryota; Metazoa; Chordata; Mammalia; Perissodactyla; Equidae.
CAGCGUCCCCCUCAUCACCAACAUGGACCUCAACAUCCGUCAACACUUGCCACACAUCAGGCCUGGUCCUCAGCCCUCUGCAUGCCUCGCAGCUCACAAUGGCACUAUGAAGCCAGAACUACUAUUACCUCCACUUCACAGGUUAGGAACUGAGGAGCUUGUUCAAGGACACACAGCCAGUAAGCAGACUCCCAAGCCCAGUCUCUUAACCACUAUGCCAGCCAUGCUAGCAACAUCCCUCUCUCUUAGGAGACUUCCUCCCAACUCCGGUCCUUCACUAAUGAACUACUUCCUAUUUUCACACUUGACCACCUCUGGUAUAAAGACAAGCAAAUGAGAAAAGUAAGGGUGAGUUGGCCAAGAUCGCCCAGCCAGCAAGCGGCAGAGGAAUAAACUGACCCCAGGACUUCCAAAUGCUACGGCCUGUGCUCUGGGGUGUCUGCAGCAGGAGUGGCAGCUGAGCAUCGGGACUGACAGUGGGGACCUGGGAGUCACCAACACUCACCUUUACUGGCUGUGUGACCCAGGGAAGAAGGCAGGAAGGGGACCUGUGUACAAGCAACAGCCAACUGUCACAGCCUGAGACGAUGGGAAAUGCAAGUCCACAGCAAAUCCACUCAGCACCUACAUUUACUCGAGGCCACCUGGUGGGGGAACUUAACCCCAGAUCUCUUGGGAGCUCAGUGACUCCAGCAUCCUGCCUCUGCCACGAGCUGGGAGGAAGAUCUCUGCGGUGUGUUGAAUGCUCUUUUCUUUCUGUUCCUGUGUGGCUGUGAGCCUCUGCAUGGCCAGGAGACGCCACCUGCCCCUGCCAGCCAGGCUGCCUCUGCACCUGUGCCAGGUUCACCCGGGGACAGGCAGAGCGGAGCGGGACUUGUCGAGAAGAGAUCUGCCCUCGUGUGACCCUCUACUUUCCCCGCUGAAGUCAGGGGCCCAGGGGAGCAGAAGACGUGAGAAACCAGUCAGAGGUCUCCGGGGCUCUGAAAGCAGUCUCUGCCCCAAGGUGGCACACGGCAGAAAAAGGGGGCAUGAUUCCAGAACACCCCUCUCUCUGCCAACUUCAGCCCAUCCACGUUUCACUCUUGGGGUCCUGCUCCCAGACAAGAGGCUGGAGUUCCACCCUGUGGAAUGGUGGGUAAUACGAAGACAAACCCUCAGGACAGGCCCAGGGGAAGGCCCCUCUGCCUUGGAGAUAAAAAUGUAUUCAAUCAAAUACUCACGGGUCAUAAAACUCAGAGGUUAAGACAGUGGUUUCUAAACCUGGC